RNAcentral lists this ribosomal RNA (651 nucleotides) under Triticum aestivum (bread wheat). Its description in RNAcentral is "partial small subunit ribosomal RNA". The record is from RNAcentral. Lineage: Eukaryota; Viridiplantae; Streptophyta; Magnoliopsida; Poales; Poaceae.
AUGUCUACCUGCUUCUCUGACCUAAUGAGAGAUCAUUCCCUAGAUUUUAUAGGCCUUCAGGAAACUAUGAAGAAAAAGUUCUCCCGUAAGUCUUUAAGAAAGAUGGACCCUUUCGAUAGAUAUAAUUGGAACUGGACUCCUUCUAUUGGCAAAUCUGGCGGUAUCCUUUGUGGUAUCAAGAAAGAAACUCUAGAGGUGGUAUCCUGGAUACCUGGUAACUUCCUUCUUCAAGCUAACUUGUACGAUGUUAAACACAAGAGUAUGUGGACCCUUGUAGUGGUUUAUGGAGCGGCCCAAGAUGAUAGAAAAGAGGAAUUCCUUAAUGAAUUAGCUUAUACUUGCUCCCAGAUUCAUGUCCCCUAUAUAGUGGGUGGAGAUUUCAAUAUCCUCCGCAGCAGUGAGGAGAAGAACAAAAAUUUGACACACUCUCACUACACUGACAGAUUUAAUGAUGUCAUACAAUCCCUGAAUUUAAGAGAAAUAUAUAUGGGGGGUAAAUACACUUGGUCCAAUAAACAGAAACAUCCUACUUUGGAGAAAUUACACAGAGUCCUCCUGAGUUUCGAGUGGGAAGAGCUAUUCCCAUUGGUAUCUGUCCGUAAAUUGGUAAGAGAUACUUCGGACCACAAUCCCUUGCUUCUGGCCACUGAU